UACGUAGGGUGCAAGCGUUGUCCGGAAUUAUUGGGCGUAAAGAGCUCGUAGGCGGUUCGUCGCGUCGGCUGUGAAAACCUGAGGCUCAACCUCAGCCUGCAGUCGAUACGGGCGGACUUGAGUACUGCAGGGGAGACUGGAAUUCCUGGUGUAGCGGUGAAAUGCGCAGAUAUCAGGAGGAACACCGGUGGCGAAGGCGGGUCUCUGGGCAGUAACUGACGCUGGAGGAGCGAAAGCGUGGGGAGCGAACAGG
This 253-nucleotide ribosomal RNA is filed under the name uncultured bacterium. RNAcentral's name for it is "partial 16S ribosomal RNA". It matches the Rfam family "Bacterial small subunit ribosomal RNA", at positions 524 to 776 of the family's 1533-position model. The record is from RNAcentral.